GAAGGUAUAACUCAAGUGGUAGAGUGUGUGCUUAGCAUGCACAAAGUCCUGGGUUCAAUCCCCAGUACCUCCA
Molecule: transfer RNA, 73 nt
Organism: Camelus ferus (Wild Bactrian camel)
Lineage: Eukaryota; Metazoa; Chordata; Mammalia; Artiodactyla; Camelidae
Rfam family: tRNA
About the family: Transfer RNA (tRNA) molecules are approximately 80 nucleotides in length. Their secondary structure includes four short double-helical elements and three loops (D, anti-codon, and T loops).
Source: Rfam